GGGGGUAAUAUGGAAUUUGCUUAUUGCACCACAUGUGUUUUUUAUUGAACAAAUUUCUUUGGUGGCGGGAGCAAUCCUACCGCCAGAGGUUAUAACUAAACCAAACUUUUUAUUUACAGUCAAACUUGAUUUAUUAUUACAAUAGUCAAAACUUUCAACAACGGAUCUCUUGGUUCUCGCAUCGAUGAAGAACGCAGCGAAAUGCGAUACGUAAUAUGAAUUGCAGAUAUUCGUGAAUCAUCGAAUCUUUGAACGCACAUUGCGCCCUUUGGUAUUCCAAAGGGCAUGCCUGUUUGAGCGUCAUUUCUCCCUCAAACCCCCGGGUUUGGUGUUGAGCAAUACGCUAGGUUUGUUUGAAAGAAUUUAACGUGGAAACUUAUUUUAAGCGACUUAGGUUUAUCCAAAAACGCUUAUUUUGCAAGUGGCCACCACAAUUUAUUUCAUAACUUUGACCUCAAAUCAGGUAGGACUACCCGCUGAACUUAAGCAUAUCAAUAAGUCGGAGGAGAAG
Molecule: ribosomal RNA, 511 nt
Filed under: Candida tropicalis
Lineage: Eukaryota; Fungi; Ascomycota; Pichiomycetes; Serinales; Debaryomycetaceae
Description: eukaryotic LSU rRNA
Rfam family: 5.8S ribosomal RNA (bases 150-303)
Source: RNAcentral